This 41-nucleotide small RNA is filed under the name Vibrio cholerae O1 biovar El Tor str. N16961. The record is from RNAcentral. Lineage: Bacteria; Pseudomonadati; Pseudomonadota; Gammaproteobacteria; Vibrionales; Vibrionaceae.
AUCGCAUACAAAGUUAAAGCCGCGUUAGACGCGGCUUUAUU